ACCUGAGUGGCUCAGUCGGUUGAGCGUCCGACUUUAGCUCAGGUCAUGAUCUCACAGUUCGUGAGUUCAAGCCCCACAUCAGGCU
RNAcentral lists this transfer RNA (85 nucleotides) under Felis catus (domestic cat). It matches the Rfam family "tRNA". From Rfam's summary of the family: Transfer RNA (tRNA) molecules are approximately 80 nucleotides in length. The record is from Rfam by way of RNAcentral. Lineage: Eukaryota; Metazoa; Chordata; Mammalia; Carnivora; Felidae.